GAUGAACGCUGGCGGCGUGCCUAAUACAUGCAAGUCGAGCGAACAGAUGAGGUGCUUGCUCUUUGGACGUUAGCGGCGGACGGAUGAGUAACAAGUGCAUAACCUACCUAUAAGACAGGGAUAACUACGGGAACCCGGAGCUAAUACCGAAUAACAUGAUGAACCGCAUGGUUUAACGGCGCAAGACGAUGUUGCUGGCAGUUAUAUAUGCAUCCGCGCCGCUUUAGCUAGUUGGUGAGGUAAGGGCUUACCAAGGCAAGGAUGCGUAGCCGACCUGAGAGGGUGGUCGGCCACACUAGACGUGAGACGCGAUCCAGACACCAACGGGAGGCGGCGGAGGGGAAUCUUCUGUUGAGGGCGGGAGCCUGACGUGGCACCGCCGCGUGAGUUAAAAAGGUCUUCGGAUCGGGAAACUCUGUUACUAGGGAAGAACAAAUGCGUAAGCAACUAUGCGCGUCUUGACGGUACCUUAUGAGAAAGCCACGGCUAACUACGUG
RNAcentral lists this ribosomal RNA (497 nucleotides) under uncultured bacterium. RNAcentral's name for it is "partial 16S ribosomal RNA". It matches the Rfam family "Bacterial small subunit ribosomal RNA", at positions 28 to 507 of the family's 1533-position model. The record is from RNAcentral.